UGGGGAAUAUUGGACAAUGGGGGGAACCCUGAUCCAGCCAUGCCGCGUGUGUGAAGAAGGCCUAUGGUUGUAAAGCACUUUAAGCGAGGAGGAGGGUACUGGUAUUAAUACUACCAGGUACUGGACGUUACUCGCAGAAUAAGCACCGGCUAACUCUGUGCCAGCAGCCGCGGUAAUACAGAGGGUGCGAGCGUUAAUCGGAUUUACUGGGCGUAAAGCGUGCGUAGGCGGCUAAUUGAGUCGGAUGUGAAAUCCCCGAGCUUAACUUGGGAAUUGCAUUCGAUACUGGUUAGCUAGAGUGUGGGAGAGGAUGGUAGAAUUCCAGGUGUAGCGGUGAAAUGCGUAGAGAUCUGGAGGAAUACCGAUGGCGAAGGCAGCCAUCUGGCCUAACACUGACGCUGAGGUACGAAAGCAUGGGGAGCAAACAGG
This 429-nucleotide ribosomal RNA is filed under the name Pseudomonadota bacterium. Its description in RNAcentral is "Proteobacteria bacterium partial 16S ribosomal RNA". It matches the Rfam family "Bacterial small subunit ribosomal RNA", at positions 355 to 776 of the family's 1533-position model. Lineage: Bacteria; Pseudomonadati; Pseudomonadota. The record is from RNAcentral.